Molecule: long non-coding RNA, 2690 nt
Organism: Triticum aestivum (bread wheat)
Lineage: Eukaryota; Viridiplantae; Streptophyta; Magnoliopsida; Poales; Poaceae
Exons: 3
Source: RefSeq, a predicted model, not a curated record
CGCGCCCCACCCACGACAUCUUGAUUGCACGACGCCCUCCCCUACCCGCCGCCUACCUCGCUCGCAGCCUCAACCACAUCGCGGCUACUGGUGUCGGGCACCAUGCAGAGCGGCCGCGCGGGCCAGCCCACGCCGACGUGAGAGAAGUACGUGUCGCUCCCGACGCCGGACAACACCGGCCCCUGUAUCUCCGUCGUCGAUGCCACGAAGAUCGGCAUGGUGUUGGCCUGAUUCAGGUCGGCACGGGAGAUCCCAUCGGCAGCCAGAGAUGCGUGCGCCGACAAUGCGGCGGCCCAGGCCGAUUCGCGGCGCAGGCGGGCGAGAACGAGGGACACGUGGCUCUGGUGCCGGGCCUGCUCCUCCCGGAUGAAGUCCCCGGAGUGAAGCCGCAGGGCGAGCCCGCUCUUCCCGCUGGAGUGCUCCUCCCUAGCAAGAACAUCGGUGUCGCUCGUGGAGAGGGACUGGUGGAGGUGGACGGCGUCGGUGGUGGCGGCUGCGUUGACGCCGCCCUGACGGAUCGCACAGGCCCCAAAAAUCCGGCUUCGUACAUCAUGAAGGUGGAACUGUACUUUCUUCCGUGAUGAUAUCCAGCUUUGCCGGCGGCCGUGGUGGCGCUACCCUGCCGGAUCACAGAUAAGCUGCUGCAGCAGAACAGCCCCAGAAAAGAUGCCCACCUAUUGAGCGAGCAGGACGAGCUCUGUAGUUGUGUCACCACGUUGCUGAUGUGCGUCAACAGUUUCCCAUCGAGGAUGUACUUGUAUAUAAUCACGCCAUGAUGCCAGAUCGAAAAGCCCACACACUGUAGGUCAAGACUCCAUCCAGUCAUUGAUCAAUUUAUUAUUCAUCAGUUGAUCCCAUACUUUUGCUGGUCUAACCGUUGCACUGAAUAUAUUAAAAAUACUAAAUAUAUUCAUUACUUAUCAUGAUGUGUUUCAAUGGAAUAUAAGAUCAGUUUAUUGAUACUUUCUCUGUAAAGAAAUAUAAGAGCAUUUAGAUCACUGGAGUACAGUACAAUCUUUACUAUCUUGCACAAUAGUGGACAUAUUUCUAAAUAUGUACAAAAAACACCAAGUUAUAUAAUUAGGUAAACUAUGAAUUUUACAAAUCUCCAGAAUUAGGGUCCCAUUUUUCAUUUCGCUCCAGGACCCCACAUUCGUGUAAAAGGCAGAGGGGGCGUCACUACAGCCAACGGGAAGAUGGAUGAUGGAUGGUGUAUGGAUGGGGGUGGAGAUGAGAUCUCACGGCAUUCUUAUACUUCCCUCCACUCCCCUGUGCUGCCUUUACUUAUCGUUUAUCUCACAUUGCAUAUAGUGGAGCAUGGUGUCCAUGGAUUAAUUUUUUCGAGGGUACGAUGUCCAUGGAUAUUAAGGGAGGCAGCCGGACGACUAGAUAGUUUUGGUGGACUACUGGCGGGGGGCAUAGGGGACAUGCUCUUGGUUUCCAUCUAAUUUACUUUGCUUAUUAUGUCUUUUCUGAAGUUGCUGAGUAGGCAGUGGCAUGAUUAGAAAUAGAAACCUAGUGAUUUAAAAUGGUUUGCCACCAGGUGUGUUGCAAAUCUAAUAUACUGGCUGAUGUUCCAGAGCAAAGCAUCUUGACCUGCAUGUGGUUAUUCAUUCGGGAUGGUGAGAGCGGUGCUAACAUAGGAAUCAUUUAUUUGAACACUUCUAUAUUUUGUAACCAUGGUGCUAAGAUGUCGGCCGACCGCGUGUGUCGCCUCCCGCAAUCAGUGAGAUCCGAGAGGAAGAGGGGAGGCAGAGAGGGGACGGAGUGGGUAACAAGGGAGGCUAGGGAGGACGAAGAGGAUAGAGAAACCUGGAAGCGCGAUGGUGAAGGUAUGGCCUCCCCAACCCCAAGCAGCCCUAACCACAGUAGCAAAGUGUGCAUCCAUUGAAAUAAACCAGACAUUGCUUAUGUACACUACUAAUGAUUGUAGGAUUAUAUUUCGGAAGGAACCAAUUUUUUAUGGUCACCACAACCAUGAUCAUAUUUUCAAAUAGCCAAGAAUUGUGAUUGAUCCUCGGCUAGAGGCACCGAUUGGGAGUUAACUCACACUAUGAACAUCUUAUUCUUAUGAGGUAACCAUAACACAUUUUCUUGAUUGACAUGCAUCCCUUAACACAGGCAUAACAGGAAACCUUGGUCAGACCCUGGAACAUAAGGUGGAGAAUUACAGUAGGUUGUUGACAUCUUUGAAAGUUGUUUGUUACAUUGAUUUUUCUCAAUAGAUUCAUAUUAGGCCCGGGUUUAUUUGAAUGCCAAACACAUUUUAUGGCUACAACUGUAUGUCAGGGGGAGUUAUAGUUAUCACAAGGCUAAUGACAUGUGAAUUUUUAGAGACUUCUGGAGUGUUGUACAUAUGCAAAAACUUUUUAAGGUGCAUGCCAUCAACUUCUGGAUUUUCUUUAUUUGCAUCUCUUGUCCAUUUUUCUUGGUCAUAUAAAUCUUAAGGUAGUCUACUUCGCACCAGUGAGCUUCAAUAAAUUAAUAAUAUGAUUCUUUAUCGUAGUACUAUGAACUUUUAUUUUCAUGAAAUUACAAUGUUUAUUAUAAGUAAGUGUGGUUCUACCUUUAAAGGUUUGCACAACUGAUUUGUCUGUCAGCGAGUUCUCUAACUGGUUUCACGUGUACUUGCUACAGCCGCAGGAGCAAGGAUGUCAUAUUAUGCAGAUUGAUGGUUUGAUUCUGUAUGA